This 442-nucleotide ribosomal RNA is filed under the name uncultured bacterium. RNAcentral describes it as "bacterial SSU rRNA". It matches the Rfam family "Bacterial small subunit ribosomal RNA", at positions 28 to 483 of the family's 1533-position model. The record is from RNAcentral.
GACGAACGCUGGCGGCGCGCCUAACACAUGCAAGUCGAACGAGAGAGAGGGAGCUUGCUUCCUUGAUCGAGUGGCGAACGGGUGAGUAACGCGUGAGGAACCUGCCUCGAAGAGGGGGACAACAGUUGGAAACGACUGCUAAUACCGCAUAAGCCCACGACCCGGCAUCGGGAAGAGGGAAAAGGAGCAAUCCGCUUUGAGAUGGCCUCGCGUCCGAUUAGCUAGUUGGUGAGGUAACGGCCCACCAAGGCGACGAUCGGUAGCCGGACUGAGAGGUUGAACGGCCACAUUGGGACUGAGACACGGCCCAGACUCCUACGGGAGGCAGCAGUGGGGAAUAUUGCACAAUGGGGGAAACCCUGAUGCAGCGACGCCGCGUGGAGGAAGAAGGUCUUCGGAUUGUAAACUCCUGUUGUUGAGGAAGAUAAUGACGGUACUCAAC